Molecule: unclassified non-coding RNA, 3884 nt
Filed under: Hevea brasiliensis (rubber tree)
Lineage: Eukaryota; Viridiplantae; Streptophyta; Magnoliopsida; Malpighiales; Euphorbiaceae
Source: RNAcentral
UUUAAUUCAAUAUGGAAAUAAAUUACUAUAGAAAAUGACUGGACAAUGUAACUUUUAUUCUAUAUUUUGCGUUCCACUCAAUAACAUCCUUUACUGGAAUUCGAAAACCAGAAAAUAAUCUACAAUGGGAAAAAAAAUAUUAAAAGUUUAUAGUAGCCGGAGAAUAUGCCCUCCCGGGUAUAAAAGAGAUCCUGAAAUCAGCUGAUCUAAGAUGCUUAAUUCUUUGUCUUUUUUUUUUCCCUCUUUUCUUUGGACUUUUAACCGAAAACUAAACCUUAUCAUCCACUUCAGUGGAUUUUGAUAACCCAUCAUGUUUUUGUGCUUUGUUACCAUUCAUUGAAAGACUACGGCGUUCCUUCCCUCCUGGCUUAGACGAGGCCUUAGCAUUACCAUACCAGAUCAUUCCUGCUACUGCAAUGAUCAUACCUACAAUUACUUGAAGAUUAAGACCCUCCUUCCCGAAGAAAAUAAAUCCUAAGGUCAGGACAAGAAUUGUCUUCAUAUGACCAAGCACUUGGAAUGACACAGCAGUAAACCGGCCAAUGCAAAUGAAUUGGCUGAGGUUUGUCCCCACUGCAAUACUGCACGACAGGAUUAUGAACAACACAGAUGUGAAACUAUAUGCAUAAGCAUCAACUCUUUUAUCUGUCAACCAAUAAUCCAAUAAAGGUCCUACUAAAAGCAGAGAAACUGCUUGUGCUGGAGCAGUGUGCCCCAAUAAGUUGAAAGAUCCUAGAGAAUACCUCUGUUGAAGAAAAUGUACAUAAUAUUGCUGCAAGGAAGUGCUCCAAACUGCCACCACUGCAGCUAUAACUCCUUUGGCAUUGACACUGACAUCUGUAACAGUACAGACAGCAACACCAAGGAGAACUACUGCUAUGCUAAGCUUUGUGUCCCUUGAAUAACGCACUUUGUCUAAUACAACUUCCAGAAAACAGGAUACAGGGAUCAUACUCAACUUUGCAAUCUGAUAAAAUCCAACUGAGUUCCACAUCAAACUCACAUUCAUUCCAACAAUAGAGAAAUUUGCAAACAAAACAAACUUCAGAAGCUCGGAUAGUGGUAGUUGAGAUGCCUGGAUAUAUCCCAGCCACCUAAGAAUAAUAGUUAACAAGGUAGUUGUGGCAAAAUGCAGACCAGUUAAUGUCGUAGCUGCAUGAUGGCAGUAGAUUAAACACAAAAUCAAGGUUCAUAAAAAUAAGAAUGCAUUAAGGAACUUCUUGAAAAAGCUAAUAAGAUACACUCAAAAAACUUAGUCAACAUUGAUAACUUCAUGGUUUUAUUCUUUAUUUAAGUUCAUAUUAAUAAGCCCAAUUAAUAUGCCUCUUUAUGAGUUCAAUAACACAAAAUAAGUGAACAAAUCCAAAUCUAAUUCUUUUAAGGUGAAAUACAUCAUGCCAGUUACUUUGCCCUUGAACUAAUUGGGAAAAGUCUGUCAUAGCCCUAAUCCUUUAUUUUUGACUUAUUGCACCUAUAAUUUUUAGUUUUAUAACAAAAAAGCAUAAUCCCUACUCAUUAAUGAAUAAUGGAACAUGUCAAGCAAUAUAUUUAAUCCAUUAUUUAUUGAUGAAUAGAAAAAAAAAGUGUUUAUUGGUUACAAAAACAAAAAUUGAAGGGUGUAAAAGGUCAAAAUUAAAAGGUUAAGGAUGCAAUAGAUUUUUCCCAAGAGGUGCAGGGACAAAUUUAUAUAGGCCUUCUUUUAUGGGCUUGCUUGAAGAUAUGUCUCCUUUGUUACGUAUAACAUCUUUCCAUGCUGCAUUUCCAUUGAUAAACUAUAUAGAUAUAUCGUCUUAAAAACAAGUUUAAAGCUACUGCAAUUCAAAUGUACAAAUCAACCGACAAAAUAAGAUCAUGCAGAAUCAACUGACAAAAUAAGAUCAUGCAGUGAAUUAAAACUAUACGUAGUUAAUGUUUUCUGAGUUCAUAAGCUCUAUAAUUUCCAAAAACUUAAAGCGUCUUGUCUGUGUAUUAAUAGAUGGAACUAAUACCAUAAAUGUACAAAUUAAGUCACAUGAUAGCUCCACUGAGACACUGACCUACAUUUGUGCUUCAGGUCAUCAUUUGUAUGUCCUCUAUUGCACAAUUAUAAUUGUAUAUUCAUUCAAAUCCGAGUCAACGAGACCACUUAGAACAAGUAUAGAUGCACAAGCAUCCAACAGGCUAAUAUUUUUUUAUAAUUUUUCUAUGCAUUGCAAUAGUAGAAACUUCGAAUAAAAUUCAUAAUCCAGAUGAAAACCAGUAACCCUUGUCCAAAUACCAGAGUACAGCCUUCCUUCAAAUUUCAACAAAUUGAUAAAAGAUUCCUAUAAGGUAGCUGCAGAUACUAAGGCCUCCCAAUAAAAUAGUAAGUUAUGUCACAUACGUUGUGUUUUCUAAUGAUUUUGAACCACCAAAAUGUACAACCAAAACAUAAAUACAAAGAGUUCCAAAAGUAACUGAGUUUUGCAAUUUAAUCUUCAAAAAACAAGAGGGAAAGAGUGUAUGAGGAAUUGUAAAUUGAUUAUAAAGGCUUUUUUGCUUAAUUCUAACUGAACAAGAAUUACUUGUAGUCUAGAUGGUUCUUUUUCAAGGAAGCAUAGGAAUACCAUUAUGGAGUAUUAAAAUAUAGAGUUCCCUGAGUUUCAUUCUUCUGCCAGCUCAAACACUAUCUCUAUUUGCUCAAUCCCAUUAUUUGCAAGGUCAAACAAUCACGAAGAAUUUGACCAACCACUGCCAAUUUUUUCAAAUAAAUAAAUAAAACAAAUUUUUAUUGUAAGGCACUUCAAAAAGGAAUUAGCUUCUAGGGCAAUUUUAAAAAUUCUUAUCCUUAAAUACUAAAAGAGACAAGAUCAAGAGUGAUUCUUAAAUGAAACUUUAGAUGGUCAAAAAAUGAAUAUUAUUUAAAACAAGAAAGGUAUAAAAUAGAAGUGAGAUAAAAGAAAGUAUCCAUUCAAAGACCUUAAAAUCUCCACUAUUGGAACUUUUGCAGGUUGUUUAUGUGCAAGUAACGACCUUUGCAAAGGAUCCCCUUGACAGUGACACGUCUUCACGGUAACCUAAUUUAUAAGAUAUAAAAUGUCAAACCUAGUCAAAAUUUUCAUUUAGCAUAGGUAGGUGGGUAAGUAAAUCUAUCUCACCUUCUAUAAGCUAACCACAAUGUUUACAAAAAUUAAACAAUCGAUCUGUCCUUUGGCCAUACCUCUUUGGCUCUCCCUUGUCCUGGCUUUUCCAAAAGAACAGGCAAUGCAAAGAAAAAUUUUGAGGAGAGAAGACUAUGCACUAUUUGCCAAUGAUAGUUACAGUUUAAGUUAUUUUAUGGGAGAGGAUCAUAUCCCACAGAUUUAUAUACAUAAGAUAUGAAACUAAGCAAUGAAGUACUGCUAAAGCAGAUAUUGAUAAAUAUUUGAUAGAUUGUCAGAAAGAUCAUACCAAAACUAAAGCCAUAGGUGGCCAUCAAUGCUUUAUUGACAAGGAUAAUUCCAACAGAUGUGACAAUAUUGAACAUCCAUGAGGCUGCAUCAAUAGCUGCUUUCGUAUCAGCCUUGUUCGUGGAAGACAUUUUUUUUUUCUGUUCUUGCAAUUAGCAACAGAAUCUUCCCUAAUAGCUCUUCAUAAGAGGGAAUAUGCUUGUAUCUUAAAAGUUGUGAGUUGUAAUGUUGUACCUGUAUUCACAAGGUACCUGAAAUAAAAAGGAAGAAAAUAAAACGCGAGUUUGGUGCUCUUCUUCUAAUUUUUUUUCCCGGAAAACAAACGGAAAAGAACGAAAAAACAAUCUCGUUGACGAAGAAAGAUAACGAGGAGGUUUUAAUAAAGGAAUUACAGAGAGAAUGUUAAAUAUAAAGAGGAAAGGAAAUGCCGAACACAGCAGCUACGGUCCCUAUAGAUUUUGAGAGUUUUCGUUCUCG